UGUCGGCUUCCCUCGGCUAGAGACAUGCGCAGCGACCCGCGGAACGACAGGUGCGCGCUGCGCCGACGACCGCGAAUCGCUUAGUUUCGGGUAAGCGCACGAUUCGCCUCUGCCGCUCUGUUCUCGCUUCGAGACAAGCCGACCCGCCAGUCGCUCGCGACUCUGUCUCUGAUUCGGUUCCGCUCGCUCCCGCUAAUCUCGUCAUCAACAUCUCUCUUCUGGCCCUUUCACGAGAUCAUCACUGGCAAUCGGAAGAGAGAUCGUCCGUUGGUGACGAUCGUGCGAUCGCGGAUCCUCUCGCCGUUGAGAGGAUCAACCGCUAGAUCCCAUCGGCUGUCGACGCCCUGGAAUAGCGGAAGACUCAUCAGCGCUUAUCGAGCGCACGUGUUCUUCCCUUCGCUUUUCUUCCCGUGAGUCUUCCUUCUCGCGAAGAAUUUUCGUCGAUAGACACAAUUUCCCAAUCGGAGGUGGUGAACGUGUUUAUCCAGUUUUCCUCCUCGUUCGGACAUUCGUCACCCGUUGUUUUCACUCCGAUCGUCAAUUUCGACAAGACGCGAUUUUCUUCUCACGCUGAAUCUCGCUGAAUCCCGGAGUGCCGUGGCCGGUAAAAGUAUAUAUCUCACGAUCGUGCUGCUAAAACAGUGAAUUUCCCGCCGAUUUCGCUAAUUCGACUGUGAUUGUGGAUCAUUGUGAUUAUCUUGGUGAACGCGCUCGGUGCUUUUGAUGAAUGUGGUGCUCUAGGAAAGUUUAGACACGUCGUCGGCAUCCCAGGUGGAUCCCUCUCGAUCAUGCACCGAGGACAGGAUCUCUUCCGCGUAAAUGUGGGAAUGCGGGCGGCCGCGGCGGUCGUCUUCCUGCUUCUCAGCGGAUUCGUCGUCCUACGCGGAGCCGAGGGGAGCGGCGAGCCGUGGUUGAGAAGCGACAAGCUCGCCGAGCGGGGAACGGAGAUUUUACUACCCUGCGUUCUGAAAUCACCGCAAUGCGAGGGUCUGCACAGCAUCAAGUGGUACCGUGGACCCACGAGGAUUUUCAUUUUCAGCGAGGAUGCCGGGAUUAUACGCGGCAAUAACGACAUUGCUGCCAGAGCGGACAUAGAAUAUUCGUCGAAUUCAUCGAAAACGUAUCUGAAGAUACCUGAGGUUCAGCUGGAGGACGAGGGUCUGUAUAAAUGUGAGGCUACGUAUUUGGCGGUCAACCGCGAGUGCAACAACGUGCAGCACAUUAUUCUGAACGUCACAGUGCAACCAGGAUUUAUACGUGUCAUCGACAAAAAAUCGAAGAAUACUCUGAGUUCCGGCUCCACUUUAGGACCUAUAAAUGAGGGUUCAAUGAUAUCUUUGUAUUGCGAGAGCGGAGAGGGCAAACCUGUACCCACAGUCGAGUGGUUUAAAGAUGACCAGCCACUCGAAGCAACGAGCUUGUCAACUAUCACUGAUACCGGAAUUGGUACUAGCAGUAGUUUACUGGAGAUGCAAAUUACACGAGAAGAGUUAGGUGCAACAUUCACGUGUAAAGUCAACAAUAUCGCACUCGUGGAGCCACUCACAGUUGACAUCAAACCAGACAUACACGUACGCCCUCUAAGAAUGGAUUUGGAAGGAGUGGUUGGUCACGUCGUGCAGGGAACUAAAAUUUUAUUGCAGUGCAAGGUACAAGCCGCACGACCCGCCGCUAAUGUGACGUGGAAAAACGGAACGCACCUCUUAAACAAGAACAAUGAAAGAUUCGAAAUGUUUGAGACGAAAAUACAGGAAAAUGAGGACGGUACAUUCGAUACGAUAAGUUAUCUCGCGUUUACAGCAACAGUAUACGACAACAGCAGAACGUUCAAGUGCUACGCCGGGAAUUCGGUUACUGAUACUGAAGACCUAAGGCAAAUGAAGGAAGCAACAACGAUCGAAGUAUUAUAUCCGCCGAUAGUUACAAUGAAGCCGAACAACAUGACUGUUAACGAGACAGACGACUUUAUAAUAUUCUGCGACUACGAGGCAAAUCCAGCCACGCUAAUAAAGGUGACGUGGUUACGAGACGACGACGAAUUAGUGUUAAACGAAGAACAUUACGACGGCGGAAUCACGGAACAAACAGCACUCACGGUGAAAAACGCGACUCCCAGCGACAUGGGUUCUUACAAAUGCAUCCUGGAGAACAACGCCGGCGCAACCGUGUCUGAUGACGCCGUGCAGGUUUCGGUCUUUUAUAAGCCAGUGGUGGAAGUGAUAAUGGAUCCGGAAACACCUGUGAACGAAGCGGAUCGUCAGAAUGUUUCGUUAACGUGCGAGGUCGACGCUGGCAAUCCGGCGAUACUGACAGCCGUCCGUUGGUAUUUGGACGGAGAUCUAUUAAAAGAACUUCCGGACUGCUCGAGAAACAGCACUGCCAUGACAGCAAGCUCCGAGGAAUCAUCGGCAUUCUGUGACAUCGAUCCUAGCAAACUGCUGUUGGAAUCUGUCGGUCGCACCUUCCACGGCAACUACUCCUGCGAGGGGAAAAACGAGGCUGGGUGGGGGCCGAUCUCCCCAAGCACGCCUGUCAUAGUUUAUUAUAAGCCCGGCCCGGCAUCGAUAACGUACGAACCUCGGCAAGUAGUGAAGAAACAAGCGUUAUCCAUCACAUGCUUCGUUUUGGAUCCCGGCCGACCGAGGGUGUCGGGCUUCAAGUGGCUGCGCGGCUGGCACCGACUUCCAGACGAGAACGAAGCCACGCUCUACAUCGAGUCAGUUAAUUUGGAAACCGAGGCAAAUUUCACGUGUCUGGCUUACAACGAGGCCGGUGACGGAGAGCCAGCCACAACGUUUAUCGACGUAUCUGCGGCCCCGACGUUCAUUAAGAAGCUGCACUCGUACCGCGGCUACGUCUACAACUCGCCCAACGUGAGCAUCAUGUGCUGGGUCGAAUGCGCCCCGAUCUGCAGUAUUUCCUGGCUGAGGGAUGACAUUCCCAUGGACUUCACGAAAACGAAUCGAUACUACGUGUCGAACGUUUAUCAUCCGCCUGACCCAAGGACCAACGACUUCGAGAGCAUCCAAUCGACCCUCGUAUGGAAUCUGACGGUCUGGCCGAACGGUCAGCUCGACCGCGCCGAGGAUAACGUCAAAUUCACCUGCAAGAGCAGCAGCAACGGGAUCGGAGCGGGCGUGGAGAGUAGUACUCACUUUCAUGUUGAGUUCCCUCCGGAGGAGAUUACAAUAUCGAAGAAGAUAAUCAAUGUGACAGAGAAUACGAUACCGGAAUCAGUCGAGUGCAACGCAAAGGCACGACCGAAACCGAAUUUCCGAUGGUUCCGUGAAGGAUACGCUGAAACCAGUAUGGAAGGCCACGUGUUGGACUUGAAAGUACCAAUACCGCGGCGUAGCAGUGGCAUUUACUACUGCGAGGCGAAAAAUCGUCAUGGUUCCUUGAAUAUCUCAAUGAUCAUGAAUGUUCAAUUUAAACCGGAAUGCACUAUAGAGAAAGUACGAUUCGAGGGCCAGGAUUACGUCGUUUGCUCAGCCGACGCCAACCCGAAAGAGACGGGUUUCACUUGGUCACUGAAGAACGAAAAUGACACGUUGGAGCAGGUCGCGGAAAUACGAAACGGAAAAAGUUACAUGCCCCUCGAUACUUCAGUCACUAACUUCCGGACGUACAUGUGCGUGGCGAACAACACAAUCGGCCAUUCCGUAGCGUGUGAACGCGACAUACCAGCCCACCAUGGAACUAAAAGUCAUAUACCUUGGUGGCAUCAAUUGGAUGGUAAUCUGCUACUGAUUAUUAUCGUAGUGGCGGUGGUCAUGAUACUAGUCCUAAUACUAAUCUGCGUGGCCAUUUACAUCGUGUGCCGACGGAAACGCAGCCAAAUGAAAUACACUACUCGGGUGGUCCAUCUGGAGGAACGCGAACAUCCAGACGGUGGACCGCCCAGUCCGACAGUAUCCUCGCACUCGGUGCAAAGCCCGGCGCAACCAACGCCGGCGCCGAGGUGGCCCUUGAAGCCGGGCGUGCUGGUGCACAUCAAUCGAACUCACAGUCUGCGAUCCGGCUUGAGCGUUCGCGCGAACGAGGCUAAUCUGCGUAACGAGCCAGUGGGCAAACGUAACGACGAACCGCUCAAGCAAAGGUUCCUCGACGAGACGUCGUUGUCGUCGACCGGCCGUAACCCGACGCGGACGGUAUUCCGUCGCGGCAGAAAAGAUCAAGCUGCGCAGAGGACAGCCAGCAUGACCAGUCUGAACGAGGAUGGUAUGCUCGCCCGGGCUAACAAGAUAAAAGCUAUGUUUGGCGUACAGCUCAAAGAGCAGGCCACCCUACCUGGUAUAUCCAGAGAAAAGACAGCUGUGACUUACAAGAGAAUUGUGCCGCGGCAGCGGAUAUUGCACGAUGUGGAUCCCUCGUACGAGCCGAAUCGUGGCAAUAUAUGUCGUAAGCGAAAAAAACCCGGGGCAGAUCCCAAUCAAGCCGCGAAUAACAAUCAUGUGAACAGCGUGUCGGAAGUUCUACCCGACUCCGGGACAAAGACAUUCUACGAAAAUUUACCUUUCCACGGGAUUCAAGCGCCACCUAACAAGUUGGUUACUCCUAAGUUUGCCCGAGUUUCGGCUUUGCAUGGCACGUUGCAUUCCAUCACGACCUCGCCGUGUUCUUCGCGACCACCCAGCAGAGCUGUCAGUCUUUGCGAUGGCAGUUCCGGCUAUGAGUCAACCAUGAGUCACCUAGGACCCCACUACAACAUCUAUAACGUGCCCAGGAGCAAUUCGCCAGUGCUCAAAUACAACACUCUGAAACCGAGGCGGCGCAAACAAAAGCACUCGCAACAGUUCUACUCGUUGCGGCUGUGCCGCCGACACGAGAACAUCCGCAGGAAGUACGAGCUAUACGCGAUACCGAUCUAUAAGACGUGCCCGCACAGGAGCGACAGCACGACCACAAUCGCGACAAUCGUACGAUCAUUGGAGGACGCGCCGUCCCUGACCCUGAGCCAGGCAUCGGCAUCGAUCAGCCUGAUGAGUCGAUCGGCGCCGUCGACGCCGAUACCGUCGUCGCCGACGACGACGACGACGCCGCCGCCCCCGCCGAUACCAGCGCCGAGGAUGUCCAAAAAAACCGACCCGUCUAAACACACCUACCAAAAUGUCCCUCCCCCCGUUUUUCCGCCGAAAAACGCUUCGUUGCCUAAGCUUAAGACCGACAGCCUAUACAACUACAAAGAACACUACCAGCAGCAGCAUCGGCAGGAGAUGCAGCAGUACAGCUACCCCUUACCGAGCAACAGUUCGAACCAACUAACACUGCCACUAACGCGCAGCCUCUACCAUUCCUCGACAGUUAGUCCCCUGCAGACCUCCCUCGUCCACACUAACAACAGUCGGCCGUCCACCCUGAUGCACCACGAGACCGCCACCACUGGCAAUCACUUGCCUGCGGUGCAUCGGAAUGAGGAGCAGCAGCAGCAGCAGCAGCAACAGCAGCAGCAAGAGCCGAAUUACGGCAAUCAAGACGCGAGACAAUCGUCGACGCGUCGACACGCGACGAAUCGGCGGAACGAACGUAAUCGGAAGUACCGGAAGCACGAGCGAACGUCGAGCGAUCGUAGCAAGUCGAAGCAGAACCGACAAAGAGACAGAGACACUCCUUCACGGCGUAGCAACGCUUCCUUUGUCGACACACCCGAUUGCGAGACGAGCUUCCACCAAAUCCCGGAUCUGGGCGUGCCCGAGACGAUGUACAAGAUCUCGUAUCCGCAUUACUACGAGGACGACAUCGCGGAGUGCUCCGCCGACUAUCACAGGCCAAACUCGGCGAUGACGCGUCAGCAGCAGCAGCAGCAACAACAACAGCAACUGCAACCGCCGUGGGAGCACCAAUCGAAUCGCUGCACCAGCAAUAACACGCCUCAAUUCACAGCGGACACGGGCGACGCGAAAAAUCGCAGCAAAACGUCAAAGACAAGGCUCGGCGACACCCGCAGCAUACCAUCCGCGCCCACGAUAAUGCAGUACGCCGAGUUUCACUUCCGGGAUGUCGGUCAGGAGAUCGAUGUCUAAAGGUUAGUGAUCCCGAAUCCCGCUGGCGCACAACGUGGCACGAAUAUGCUUUCGAAGAACGCGGACGAUCUCAUUUUUUCCAAGGAAUGCCGUGGCAAUUUGUUUGAAGCCUCCCGGAGCACGGUACGCUACUACGUCUUAAAGGUAACGCAUCCGCGCGUGCCGAACAGAUUUAACGUGUUCUCUACGUACGCCGUGCUCAAAGCCCUUCAAGCCGGAUUUCUCGGAUCUCGAUUAUGCGGACGUGGACUACAAGUCGUACGGGCCGAUUAAUUAUAAAGCCGCCAGUAUCGCGCUCCUUCAAAAGCAGCAGCAGCAACAACAGCAGCAGCAGCAGCCGCAUCAACAGGCUCUACAGCAGCAGCGACUUUUGGAAAGAAGGCCGCAAAUGUACGGUACUUCGGACGACAACGAGGAACUGCUUU
This is an RNA transcript of Solenopsis invicta (red fire ant), 6448 nucleotides long. It is a transcript of the gene named hemicentin-1, with no coding region annotated. The transcript has 23 exons. NCBI's taxonomy places the organism in Eukaryota, Metazoa, Arthropoda, Insecta, Hymenoptera, Formicidae. The record is from RefSeq and is a predicted model, not a curated record.